AUAACCGCACUCGUAGGAGCUUAGAGCUUACACGCUUGAGUAAAUGGGAAAAACCUUUCUUUCUUUGCAGUGUUGGGGGCGCUGCAGGAGAGCUCGCGUUCACGUCUCACGGCAGCUCCUGCUUAGGGACGGAGCAGCUGCUGCCGGGAGCUCAGCUGCAAAAGGCGUGUUUGUGUUCAUAGUGCUACUAGUGUUUCCUUUACAACUCUGCCAAAUGCAACUAGUUUAGAGAACGUCGGUCCCAAUGAGAAGAAAUGAGUUGGGUUUGCUAGAAACCCUUCCUGUGUUACCUCAAGUCCCAUCUCAGGUGGAGUCAGCCCCGACCUUUGCUGCUGGGAUGCGGAGGGAAGGUUUCUGAAUAGCUGUGAAGUUUAUAGUGCCAAACACAGGUCUGGCCAAGGCUCAGAAACUGGCUGCACAUCUGGCAGCUCUCUUACAGCCAUGGUCUUAAAUUUCUGUGCUGUUUCUGGCUCUAUUUCUUGUGUCCGGUAGGAGAGGAAAGUUUGGAAAGGAAAAUAAUAGAUGUAUCUCUGUGCAUGCCUGGCACUGAGACCUGCAAGAGAAAUUGAGUGGCUCUGUGAAGCUCUGCAAGACCUCACUCCACCCACUGAUCCAUCUCCCUUGGAUCCUUCUCCCUUCCAAAUCCCAUCAAGCUCUUUCUGGGAGGGGCCCCCACAUCUCCUGACUGCUGCAGGAGCUUCUUCCUGUAUCCUCAAGGCUGUUCCCCUCUGUUACCUGAGGUCAGAAGCUGGCUGCCAUUUGGAGUGUAGAAAUGGCCACUUUGGCCACUCUAAUCAUGCCACCAAUUGUCUGACAGGGACUGUGAUGCUUUGCUUUACUCUGGUGCUUUGUCUGAAUUUUGUGUGCAGAAGCAGGGGCUGGGCUGUGUGCUGUGCUCUGUUUGCUUUCCUUGAAGCCUUUCUAGAGGAAUUAUUUGUUAAACAAAUUGAAUGUGUUGGGAAUAACACACAAUGGUUCACAAUUCUCUGUCAUGUACCCCUGACGCGAGUGGGGAUUUCUGCUGCACCACCAGCACAGUGCUGGGGCUGAAGACAGCACUCUGGGAGGUGCUGUUGCUGCUGAAGACAUGACCAUAUUCAUUGGCUAGCAGAAUUAAUUUGUUGGGUUUGUUUGCAUGGAUUUUACCACAGUAAAGUCCCACUUAUUUUCCAUUUCGGUGGCAUGAAAAGUGUAUUGAUUUUUCUUCACUUCUGAUUGUUCACAUUACUGGAUUGCUUUUAAAUAGUUGACAGAGAUCAUUCAUUUUCUAGCUCUAACAUAUUUUACAGCCUGUUCCCUGUUUUAUUUGUGUGUGCUUUGGGGGAGUUCCACAGUUAUGCGUCAUACUGAUCACGUUCUGCAAACGGCAGCCCUGGCAGGAGGGAGGAAGCUCUUCCCCCGUGGGGUUUUUGCUCCUCCUGCCUUCUCCCUAGCAGCUUCAGCACCUGUGUUUCACCUCCCCGACUUAGAAAGUGGAGCUGAGGCUCAAAAACCCUCUAAGCCAAAGAAAUAACAAGGCCACAGAAAAAUCAGUCUUGUGAGAGGGGCUGGUUAGUGGGAGGACAUUGAGAGCUGUCCUGGUGUUUGUGGGGCUCAGCAGGGGAGGGGCAGCGUCCUUCAACCCACACACAAAGACACGAGGGAACCUCGGGGCCUUUUCAGUGCAGGACCCACGGGGCUUUGGAAUGCUGCCCCAGCCCAGCACACCUCUCUGCCCUUCCCCUGGGCUGUGUCACCUCUCCAGGCUGAGCCCUUUGGGAGCAAGAACUGCCUGUCCCUAUUUGCUAGCACAGUGCCUAAAGCAAUGGGGUCCUGAUUUCACUGAGGCCUCAAGCAACAGGGAGACAGUGCUAAUAAGGAGAAUUAAUUAUUCAUUUAUCACUUCACUCUCAGUGAAUAAUCUCCAAUAAUCAUGUAUAAUUUGCUGCUUUAGUGAAUACUUUGAUAUUAAACAGAGCUGGUAGAAUAAACUCACAGAAGUGAAAACCCCAUGUAAAAGAAGUGAGAAAAUGGUCAAGACUAAAAAAACAUCUAAGAGAUAUUUGUGCAUAAUCAUUUGCCCAGAUCUAGUAGUGUCCUGGAUAAACAUAUGGAAGACAGAUAGAGACAUAGAUGGCUCAAUCUCUUCCCCAGCUCUUAGAGAGUCAGAGAUCACACUAUGAUCCCAAACAGAAGCCUACAUUCUGUGACCAGAGGAUGGUCCAGGAGAUAAUUUUGCUUUCUCUAACCUCCUUCUGGGGUGAAGGAAGUGCAGUAAGGGAAAGCUACUUGGCACUGAAGUGGGGAAUUAAGUAUUCUUAAGGCCUAAAUGAUUGGGGCAUCCAAAGUGCAGGUCUGCCCUGGGAAGUCAGGGAAAGCUGCCUCCAGUGCUGCUCAGGGUGAGUUUGCACGGUUUGUGAUAGCUCAAUGACUUCGAUUUUCCCAUUUGCCUUUUCCCUUCCCAUGGCUACUGAGUGCUUGGCCCAUAGGGCUGUGCUCAUCCACACCAGGGGCAUUUAUUGCAAAGCUGUUUGUGACAAAGGCAGAUUCCAGCAGCCAGGAGCUGUUCGGGCUGUGGUGUUGUUUUGGGAAACUGCUGAAACAUUGUCUGUUCCCGCAUGGAAAUCUCUUUCAGAAGCAGAUUGCAGUGUUGUGUUUCAGACUGUGGUGCCUGCUCACAUUAUCCCUCACUGACGCACAGUGAUGAUGCAUAUGUUGGAUCUCACAAUGCUGAGAGAAUUUACGCUUUGGAAGUGUUUACCUCCCUCAUUAUUGAUGUUCUGUCAGUAGCAGUGUGCUCAUAUUCUCUGCAGAGAAACUAAAGGCACUGAUAAAAAUCACUGAGCUUCUCAUCUAAAUCUCCAGGUGAGCUCUGGAUUGAGUAGUGCCACGACGGUCAAGAGACUGAGAAUGGACCUUGCUGUCGAAGGGUCAGCCCUCAGUGAGCCUCCUCCUACAGCUGCAGCUCCAGCACCUGUUCUUAGCACCAAGAGGAAGAAGACCCGGGGCCAAAUUCUUCCGUGAGACACUUUUAUUCAAACCCAUGUCAGAAAUUUGGUGAAAGAAAUAUUUCAGGCAAUUCUUUCGCCUUUGUUGCUUUAAUGUUCAGCAAUAUCUGUUCUUCCUGUAAGAUCCCUGGUGACACUGCAGGGGAUGGUGGGAUGGUGUUUAAAUAUUGAUGUUUUAGCAGCUUAUGGUUUUAAUACAAUUUAAAUUAUGCACAUUUUUAUUGGACUCAUAGGUUCAUCAGCAAUUAGUCUCUCCCAGCUGCAAAGGAGGGUGUUCAGCAGCUCUGUAUUGAUUUCUGCCUCAACCUCUGAAUUUUAGUGACUGGCUACAUCUUAGUGCCUUGGCAAGGUAAACAAAUCCACAGGCCCUUAUUCGAGAACUGCUGGUUAGCAGCCAUAAAUGUGUAAUCAACAACUCGGUAUCCUUGGAAUUAGAUCUUCUUAACAAUCAUUAGUUUCAUCCCUUGCUGCUCUAAUAAACCUCUUGGUAGCAGGGCAGAGCCAAUUAUACAUGUGCUUGGAAAAUUAGAAAAGAAGGAGAAAAAGUCUGUGUUGCCACAAAUAAGUGAAAAUUUUAACUGGCCCAAACCUGUGGCACGUGUGGGACUCAUCUGUUGUUUAUCAGAGGCUGAGCUUUGAGUAUUGGAGACAACGUUAGGGGAAAUCUGUAUUUAUUUUGCAUGUUAUGGUUUUUCCACCUGAUGCCAAGCUGGCAUCAGUGCACAAGUCCUGCAGCCCCUUUCACAUUUCUUCUGUGGGCUCUGCAGACCAGAGCCAGGGCUGUGAGAGCUGCAGCAAACUGACAUUGAUUCAAAGAUGUUUUGUGGCAGGAUCCCUACCCAGUGCUGCCUGCAAUGCUCAGGAGGAGGAUGGCUGUCAUGAUACAGUGACCAAAUUACUUAUUUAUCUUCUGAGUGUGACAGGGAACUGCUCAGCCUGGGGGUCCAGAUGCUGGUGUUUAAUUUCCCCCUCCCUUCUGCAGCCCUGGGCAGCUCAUGAAACAUCCCUGGGACCAGCUCUUUGCUCCCACAGAUCCCUGUCUUUUGGGAUAAGCCUUGGAGGAGAGCUUGGAGCCCCGGAGUGCUCACUCUGUUCCUGCUUUGUUCCCAGUGCAGUGGGAUAGAACAGAUAAACACCCCUGAAUCACUAAGUUUUUGUUUACAUCUGUUUUCUCUUCAUUCAGUGGGACUUUUGCAAGGUGCAGUGAGAAGAGAACAUGCACCUGCACCAAGUACAGUGAUUGUGGGGGCUCUUGCUAAAGAAAAUCAUUAAUAGCAAAUCCACCCUUCCUUCUCCAGGUGGUUCUUAUGCCAUCCUACACAAGACGUUUUUUUGAGAGAGGUGAUAAGCUUCUAGGAUGUGCCAUCAGCUUUACAGUCAAGCUGCUGGCAUUAGGAGAGAAUGGGAAUGCAAACCAUAAAAAUAACAGAUGGGAGACAGAUGUGAUAAAAUGGAAGCACAGGCAAAUUAUAAAACCAUUCAAACUGCUCAUGCAGAUAAAAUCGGGAAACAAAAUCACAUCUGAAAUCACAAGGACUGGGUGUCUGUUUGAGAAAAAAGUGUUUGACUUUGCUGUUUGAUAGUGGUAUUGGUGGUGGAGGUGUUCAAGUUCAAAGUCCUGGAGGAGAAGCAGGGAUUUCUGCUGCAGGGAAGCUUGGGCUGUGGCACCUUCCUUUGUUGCUGAGGAGCAUUUCUGCUGUAGAGGCUUAAAGAUGGCGUUUUUCCUCAACUCACACUGCAAAUGUUAAUGUUCAUAUCGUGCCAGUGCAAUUACUUGACUGCAGUGAUAAAAUAUCAUCCAAAUAAUUGAAGAAACAUGAAGGGAAAAAUAGCCCUCAAAAACCUAAAGGGCAGAUGACCAUGAAAUGAAACCCAAAAUAAUGCUGGGAUCCUCUGGAGCUCUACUGGGUGUGCCACAGGAUCCUGCAGGGGCAGGGCUGAGGCAGCUCAGUGCCAGGCUCAGAGCCUGGGGGAGCAGGGACAAGGAGGGCACCACGAGGCUCGGGGGAGAUGAUUUUACAUGACCCAAGCAAAAGUCCUGUUACAUUGGAGCAUCUAAAAUCACCUAGCCAGUACCCUGUCUCCAGCAGAACUGGACAGAUCUGUGCCUACAAAUCAGGCUCUCAUUUUCUAGUAAUUAGCAGAUUACAGACUGGCUGAGCCACGAGUUGUGCUGGGAACAAGGGGUUUAAUAGCCACAGAUAGGUUUCUCCUCUGAAUUAAUUGAAUCUCUUUUUGAACCCAUUCAUCCUUCUGGCUGUCACACAGCUCACCAUUUAAUUACACAGUGCCUGGGGACUUCAGGGGCGCCCCUUCCCCUUGCAGCAAGCACAAGGAACAGACAUCCAGUCUCACACUCCUCACACCACUCAGACAAAUCUCACGGCGGGCUUCCACAACAUCUGAUGCUUAUUAAAGCCUUGUUUUCUGAGCACAGGACUGGGAGUCCGGCUCCCUCUUCUUAAUGAGUUUUUAAUUUUUUUUUCUUUUAUAUGCCCAAAGAAGAGGGAUAAGGUCUGAGUAUGUUCUGAAAACCUCUGUUUAGAAGGUAAACAAAGACCCUCUUUGUUCUCAAAGACCACUUUAUUAUUCUAAAUUUAUUAGCUCUUCCUGAUACAGCAUUUGGAAUGUGCUCUGAAACACCUGGACCACGGCAGUGAAGUGGGUGCUAUAGCCAGGCAGUGUGUCUCAUUCUGCACUGGAUGUGAUUAGAAAUGCAGCUUCAAACACAAAUGGGGGAAAAUAUGAUAACAGGGAGGGGGAAGGAAGGAGGAAGGCUAGAGGACUGAACCUUUCAAAAUGCUCAUGACCUCUUAUUGACUUUAUGCAAUGAUAUUUUUAUUUAUAACAGCAUCAGGUCAGAAUUAGGCUUUUUCUAUCAGUAUUUAUGAUGUUGCUGGCAAUUUGAUGAGUCUUUGUCCUGCAGAGCAAAUGAGUGAUUAAAGUUUACAGUGAACUUAUGUCCAAGGAGUUCUGCUUUACCCUCUGGGUAAAGAGAAGCCAUUGGCCUCUUUGCAGCACCAGGGCAUUGAAUUUGUUUGUUGGUUGGUAUGGGGCUUUUUUUGGCUGGGAUUACAAGGCUAAUACUUAGCUUUUCAUCCAAAAUCCAGAGUUUUCUGUGGUUCUUAAAACAUUUCUGUAUAUUUUACAUUUAAAUAUAAAUGAGAUCUCCUUGAAACAGAUUCAUUCUGGUUGGCUUUGCACAUUGAUGAUUAAAGAACGUGGUUCAAUUUUUUUUGUCUCAUUCU
Long non-coding RNA from Haemorhous mexicanus (house finch), 6235 nucleotides. RefSeq lists it as uncharacterized. The transcript is spliced from 2 exons. The record is from RefSeq and is a predicted model, not a curated record. NCBI's taxonomy places the organism in Eukaryota, Metazoa, Chordata, Aves, Passeriformes, Fringillidae.